GGUCGCGCAGGGCUGUCCCGGUGAGAACGGUGAUCAUCACCGGACGGCGCACAGGAAAGCGCGUGUUGGAAUGGACCACCAUAUUCUGUACCACCAGACAACUAGAAUGAAAAUGACUGCUAGAAUGCUCUUCAACAAGGUUAUGGGAUCGAGGAAGCGUCUGGUGAUCUCGCUGGUGCUGGCCGUGAUCCUGGUGGACCUGUGCAUCGUAGCGACACCCCGCCGCACCGAGUCGGAGACGCCGACGGCUACGGUGCAGAGGGAACGGC
This is a long non-coding RNA of Pollicipes pollicipes, 269 nucleotides long. RefSeq lists it as uncharacterized. The transcript has 3 exons. The record is from RefSeq and is a predicted model, not a curated record. Lineage: Eukaryota; Metazoa; Arthropoda; Thecostraca; Pollicipedomorpha; Pollicipedidae.